UACGUAGGUGGCAAGCGUUAUCCGGAUUUACUGGGUGUAAAGGGCGUGUAGGCGGGAGAGCAAGUCAGACGUGAAAUUCCAGGGCUCAACCCUGGAACUGCGUUUGAAACUGUUCUUCUUGAGUGAUGGAGAGGCAGGCGGAAUUCCUGGUGUAGCGGUGAAAUGCGUAGAUAUCAGGAGGAACACCGGUGGCGAAAGCGGCCUGCUGGACUGCAACUGACGUUGAGGCCCGAAAGCGUGGGGAGCAAACAGG
Molecule: ribosomal RNA, 253 nt
Filed under: uncultured bacterium
Lineage: Bacteria
Description: partial 16S ribosomal RNA
Rfam family: Bacterial small subunit ribosomal RNA
Source: RNAcentral